UUAAAUUGAAGAGUUUGAUCAUGGCUCAGAUUGAACGCUGGCGGCAGGCUUAACACAUGCAAGUCGAACGGUAACAUGAGUGCUUGCACUUGAUGACGAGUGGCGGACGGGUGAGUAAAGUAUGGGGAUCUGCCGAAUGGAGGGGGACAACAGUUGGAAACGACUGCUAAUACCGCAUAAAGUUGAGAGACCAAAGCAUGGGACCUUAGGGCCAUGCGCCAUUUGAUGAACCCAUAUGGGAUUAGCUAGUUGGUGAGGUAAAGGCUUACCAAGGCGACGAUCUCUAGCUGGUCUGAGAGGAUGACCAGCCACACUGGAACUGAGACACGGUCCAGACUCCUACGGGAGGCAGCAGUGGGGAAUAUUGCACAAUGGGGGAAACCCUGAUGCAGCCAUGCCGCGUGUAUGAAGAAGGCCUUCGGGUUGUAAAGUACUUUCGGUAAUGAGGAAGGUGGUGUAUCUAAUAGGUGCAUCAAUUGACGUUAAUUACAGAAGAAGCACCGGCUAACUCCGUGCCAGCAGCCGCGGUAAUACGGAGGGUGCGAGCGUUAAUCGGAAUGACUGGGCGUAAAGGGCAUGUAGGCGGAUAAUUAAGUUAGGUGUGAAAGCCCUGGGCUCAACCUAGGAAUUGCACUUAAAACUGGUUAACUAGAGUAUUGUAGAGGAAGGUAGAAUUCCACGUGUAGCGGUGAAAUGCGUAGAGAUGUGGAGGAAUACCGGUGGCGAAGGCGGCCUUCUGGACAGAUACUGACGCUGAGAUGCGAAAGCGU
This 770-nucleotide ribosomal RNA is filed under the name Gilliamella sp. wkB195. RNAcentral describes it as "bacterial SSU rRNA". It matches the Rfam family "Bacterial small subunit ribosomal RNA", at positions 1 to 762 of the family's 1533-position model. Lineage: Bacteria; Pseudomonadati; Pseudomonadota; Gammaproteobacteria; Orbales; Orbaceae. The record is from RNAcentral.